RNAcentral lists this ribosomal RNA (609 nucleotides) under uncultured Acidobacteriota bacterium. Its description in RNAcentral is "bacterial SSU rRNA". It matches the Rfam family "Bacterial small subunit ribosomal RNA", at positions 8 to 651 of the family's 1533-position model. The record is from RNAcentral. Lineage: Bacteria; Pseudomonadati; Acidobacteriota.
AGAGUUUGAUCCUGGCUCAGAAUCAACGCUGGCGGCGCGCUUAACACAUGCAAGUCGCACGAGAAAGGGAGCAAUCCUAAGUAAAGUGGCGUACGGGUGAGUAACACGUGGAUCAUCUACCUUUUAGUGGGGAAUACCUCCUGGAAACGGGAGACAAUACCGCAUAAGCUCGAGAGAGGAAAGCCGAAAGGCGCUGAAAGAGGAGUCCGCGGCUGAUUAGCUAGUUGGCGGGGUAAUGGCCCACCAAGGCGAAGAUCGGUAGCCGGCCUGAGAGGGCACACGGCCACACUGGCACUGAAACACGGGCCAGACUCCUACGGGAGGCAGCAGUGGGGAAUCUUGCACAAUGGAGGAAACUCUGAUGCAGCGACGCCGCGUGAGCGAUGAAGCCCUUCGGGGUGUAAAGCUCUUUCGACGGGAACGAUAAUGACGGUACCCGAAGAAGAAGCUGCGGCUAACUACGUGCCAGCAGCCGCGGUAAUACGUAGGCAGCGAGCGUUGUUCGGAAUUACUGGGCGUAAAGAGUGUGUAGGUGGUGCUCUAAGUUUGGUGUGAAAUCUCCCGGCUUAACUGGGAGGGUGCGCCGAAAACUGGUGUGCUUGAGUAUAG